Long non-coding RNA from Myotis lucifugus (little brown bat), 856 nucleotides. RefSeq lists it as uncharacterized. The record is from RefSeq and is a predicted model, not a curated record. The transcript has 2 exons. Lineage: Eukaryota; Metazoa; Chordata; Mammalia; Chiroptera; Vespertilionidae.
AGAGAGAGAGAGAAAGAGAGAGAGAGAGGAAAUAGAGAAAGACAUUGAAUACCGAACACAUGAGCUUCAACACUGGAGAGGGAUGAAAGAAAUACCCAAGAGGGUAGUAAAUGGUGUCUCAGAUGGACAGCUGUGUAUAUGGCACAGAGGACAACCAGCCCAGAUGAGAGCAGAGUGCCUCAAAAGGUAGAUAUGUUCAGAGCUGUCAUCACCAAGAUCCCCACUGCUAUUGAUUCUUUCGGGGAGCGGUGCCUGAAGACAGAAUUCCUGGAAGUGCUCUGCUAUGAUCUGCUUCAGAAGCUGAAGGUGGGCCGUGAGGAGGCAGCAAAUCCAGAGCAAUCCACACUCCGGACCAUAUUUCUCCCGGAUACUGAGUACCUGGCCCCCACUAGAGCCCUACCAGAUGCCCAACUCUGAUGAGCCCUGUGUUUCCCAACUCAUGACCUUGUUUGCCUACUCCCCCAGAAGGGACUCUUGUAAGCUCUUGGGGAAACUGAAACCAGACUGACCCAGAGACCCCGUCUACCUUCUCUCUCUCCUGGACACUUUCAUCAAACAGGAGAAAGUCGCCCUUUCAUUCUCAGCUGGAUUUGUGCUCCUGCCCCAUACACACGGUUUAGUAAUAAUACACACCUAGUGGUAAAACUGUGAAGAAAACCAAGAGCGAUGAGCACAAACGUUAAGACAAGGCCACCUCUGGGGAGGAGGCUGGAGGUUUUAUUUACAGAGGAGCCCUUGGAGGGUGUCUAAGGUCCUGGUGAGUGCUCUACUCUUUAAUUUUUAUGAUAGGUACAUAGGUGCUAACUGUACUGUAUUUUCAACUCUAUGUAUAUUUAAAAUACUCUUCUAGCCCUGA